CAGCAGCGGCGCAGGUAUUCCAAAAGCGUUUAAAAAAUGAACAGCCCGUACUGGACUGACGCCGAUCCGGGGCGAUACUUCCCCUACUGACAUGGCAUUUCCCCCGAUGCCAGGCCAGCCGAAGGCAUCCGUGGAACGCCUGCCUUCGCUUACUCCUAAAUGCUUUUGACCCGGUUUCCUCCCCCAGACUCCGG
RNAcentral lists this small RNA (194 nucleotides) under Azotobacter chroococcum NCIMB 8003. Its description in RNAcentral is "RgsA sRNA". It matches the Rfam family "RgsA sRNA". From Rfam's summary of the family: P16 sRNA appears to be conserved across several Pseudomonas species and Azotobacter vinelandii. In these species it is consistently located downstream of a predicted TatD deoxyribonuclease gene. The record is from Rfam by way of RNAcentral. Lineage: Bacteria; Pseudomonadati; Pseudomonadota; Gammaproteobacteria; Pseudomonadales; Pseudomonadaceae.